GAUGAACGCUGGCGGCGUGCCUAAUACAUGCAAGUCGAGCGAACAGACGAGGAUCUUGCUCCUCUGACGUUAGCGGCGGACGGGUGAGUAAAACGUGGAUAACCUACCUUUAAGACUGGGAUAACUUCGGGAAACCGGAGCUAAUACCGGAUAACAUGUUGAACCGCAUGGUUCAACAGUGAAAGACGGUCUUGCUGUCACUUAUAGAUGGAUCCGCGCCGGAUUAGCUAGUUGGUAAGGUAACGGCUUACCAAGGCAACGAUGCGUAGCCGACCUGAGAGGGUGAUCGGCCACACUGGAACUGAGACACGGUCCAGACUCCUACGGGAGGCAGCAGUAGGGAAUCUUCCGCAAUGGGCGAAAGCCUGACGGAGCAACGCCGCGUGAGUGAUGAAGGUCUUCGGAUCGUAAAGCACUGUUAUUAGGGAAGAACAAAUGUGAAAGUAACUAUGCACGUCUUGACGGUACCUAAUCAGAAAGCCACGGCUAACUACGUG
RNAcentral lists this ribosomal RNA (497 nucleotides) under uncultured bacterium. RNAcentral's name for it is "partial 16S ribosomal RNA". It matches the Rfam family "Bacterial small subunit ribosomal RNA", at positions 28 to 507 of the family's 1533-position model. The record is from RNAcentral.